Parastrongyloides trichosuri is the source of this 45-nucleotide non-coding RNA. Lineage: Eukaryota; Metazoa; Nematoda; Chromadorea; Rhabditida; Strongyloididae. The record is from Rfam.
CCAACGGCCCUCUUUAGGGCCAAUAAUAUUUUUUUUUUCAAUAUA